CGGCGCCCAGCUUCCUGCUCCGCCCCUCGCUCCCGCCAGCCCGCCCGGCACGGGGAGUCCGGUCUUGCAGCCCCUGUCAAAGCCGAGGAGGAGGCGGCGCCAGGUCUGAAGCUCUCCAGAUUUUUGUCUCUAACUUUUUGCUGUGGCAUUGGGUACCCUGGAAAAUCACCACCCCUCCUGCUACUCAGUGCAGACUUGCUGGCACCUCUCCAGCAGGUGGGCCCAGAAGUACUCCAGGGCAGGUGAAUUCUGCUGUCGAGGAUUAGCAAGGACUUGGGAGCUGCCUGCAUGGAAUGUAGCUUUCUUUGGAGGGAAAAUAUCAUUUUGGAUUAACUGGCAAAUGGCUUUAAAAGUUGUUCCCUCUGUGGUAAAGGCAUUUGCUGAGAUUAUUGCAGUAAGACAAAGUCUCAUUCCCCUGCUUUUGGAAAUGGCAGGCAUUCAGUACAGCUGCGUACAAUGAACAGAGCUUGUAAAAUACAAAAUCCGAUCACCUCCAGAUUUCUUUACCUGGUUUUUUUUUUUCUUUGAAACUACCUAGGAAUUAAAUACCCAAACUUAUUGCAUAAUAAGGUUGUGAGA
This 579-nucleotide long non-coding RNA is filed under the name Crocodylus porosus (Australian saltwater crocodile). RNAcentral's name for it is "lncRNA (ENSCPRG00005015266.1)". The record is from RNAcentral. Lineage: Eukaryota; Metazoa; Chordata; Crocodylia; Crocodylidae.